Molecule: ribosomal RNA, 460 nt
Filed under: uncultured bacterium
Lineage: Bacteria
Description: partial 16S ribosomal RNA
Rfam family: Bacterial small subunit ribosomal RNA
Source: RNAcentral
CCUACGGGCGGCAGCAGUGAGGAAUAUUUGUCAAUGGACGAGAGUCUGAACCAGCCAAGUAGCGUGAAGGAUGACUGCCCUAUGGGUUGUAAACUUCUUUUAUAUGGGAAUAAAAUGUUCCACGUGUGGGAUUUUGUAUGUACCAUAUGAAUAAGGAUCGGCUAACUCCGUGCCAGCAGCCGCGGUAAUACGGAGGAUCCGAGCGUUAUCCGGAUUUAUUGGGUUUAAAGGGAGCGUAGGUGGAUUGUUAAGUCAGUUGUGAAAGUUUGCGGCUCAACCGUAAAAUUGCAGUUGAAACUGGCAGUCUUGAGUACAGUAGAGGUGGGCGGAAGUCGUGGUGUAGCGGUGAAAUGCUUAGAUAUCACGAAGAACUCCGAUUGCGAAGGCAGUUCACUGGACUGCAACUGACACUGAGGCUCGAAAGUGUGGGUAUCAAACAGGAUUAGAGACCCUAGUAGUC